RNAcentral lists this ribosomal RNA (450 nucleotides) under uncultured bacterium. Its description in RNAcentral is "bacterial SSU rRNA". It matches the Rfam family "Bacterial small subunit ribosomal RNA", at positions 28 to 478 of the family's 1533-position model. The record is from RNAcentral.
GAUGAACGCUGGCGGCGUGCUUAACACAUGCAAGUCGAGCGAAGCACUUUUGCGGAUUUCUUCGGAUUGAAGCAACUGUGACUGAGCGGCGGACGGGUGAGUAACGCGUGGGUAACCUGCCUCAUACAGGGGGAUAACAGUUGGAAACGGCUGCUAAUACCGCAUAAGCGCACAGUACCGCAUGGUACCGUGUGAAAAACUCCGGUGGUAUGAGAUGGACCCGCGUCUGAUUAGCUAGUUGGUGGGGUAACGGCCUACCAAGGCGACGAUCAGUAGCCGACCUGAGAGGGUGACCGGCCACAUUGGGACUGAGACACGGCCCAAACUCCUACGGGAGGCAGCAGUGGGGAAUAUUGCACAAUGGGGGAAACCCUGAUGCAGCGACGCCGCGUGAGCGAUGAAGUAUUUCGGUAUGUAAAGCUCUAUCAGCAGGGAAGAAAAUGACGGUAC